AACUUUAAAGCUUUUUAAGCAUUUCACUUACACUGAAAAGAUAAGAAUUUAACUUUUUUUAUUA
Molecule: transfer RNA, 64 nt
Filed under: Cyclosa japonica
Lineage: Eukaryota; Metazoa; Arthropoda; Arachnida; Araneae; Araneidae
Description: tRNA-Val
Source: RNAcentral